RNAcentral lists this transfer RNA (75 nucleotides) under Cordylochernes scorpioides. RNAcentral describes it as "tRNA-Thr". The record is from RNAcentral. Lineage: Eukaryota; Metazoa; Arthropoda; Arachnida; Pseudoscorpiones; Chernetidae.
UGUCAAGGGAUGGGAAUCGAACCCACGACCUUCCGCUUACCGGGCAGAUGCCAUGACCACUAGGCUACCCGGGAC